AAGUCGUAACAAGGUUUCCGUAGGUGAACCUGCGGAAGGAUCAUUAGUGAAUAAAUAGGGUGUCCAAUUUAACUUGGAACCCGACCUUCUCACAUCUAACCCUGUGCAUCUGUAUUUAAUGGCGAGCAAUUUUCGGAUUGUGAGCCAUUUCACUUUAUAAACACUAGUCUAUGAAUGUAAAAUUUUUAUAACAAAUAAAAA
This 201-nucleotide unclassified non-coding RNA is filed under the name plant metagenome. RNAcentral's name for it is "partial contains small subunit ribosomal RNA and internal transcribed spacer 1". The stretch from base 1 to 46 matches the Rfam family "Eukaryotic small subunit ribosomal RNA", at positions 1786 to 1831 of the family's 1831-position model. The record is from RNAcentral.